Ipomoea triloba (trilobed morning glory) is the source of this 926-nucleotide long non-coding RNA. RefSeq lists it as uncharacterized. The transcript has 6 exons. NCBI's taxonomy places the organism in Eukaryota, Viridiplantae, Streptophyta, Magnoliopsida, Solanales, Convolvulaceae. The record is from RefSeq and is a predicted model, not a curated record.
CUACAGCUUCACCCGCUUCACUCGCUCUCCCUUUGUAAUCACCCAAAUUCCUCAUCGAUUCCUCCCGGUUUGCCAAAUGGCAGACGGAUUUUACCCGGAUUCCUCAUCGAUUCCUCCCGGUUUGCGUCACCCAUCUGGACUUGGAUGACAUGAAUAUUGAGAUUAUGAGGAAUACCCAGUACAAGGCAUACUUGAGGCAGGAAAACCAUUCUAUAGACUCCAUUGUUUAGCCCCAACCAACCGUUUUGCCAAAGAGGUGACUAAAAGAGUGGAAACUGCUGAUGGUGUGUGGAAGCACUGGAACUGGAGAACAGAAGGAGACCUUAUGCUUAAUGGAGCCUACUUCAUUGCAUCUGGGCGUGUGUCGUUAGCUAGCUAUGCAAGGGCUUCUAAUAACCAAGAAAAUAUAUAAGAUUGGGUGCAGCUCAAGUAUUAUCCAGGAUUGAGCGUUUUUCCAAGUCUAAGGAAGGACAGGUUGAUGGCCCUAUAAUAACCAAGAAAAUAUAUAAGAUUGGUAACAGUGAACUCAUGGUACUUGUAGCAAAAGCCUCUGGUAAGACAAAAGUUUAUUUGGCUACGGAUCUCAAUGAGCCUGUUAUUCUUCAUUGGGCAUUAUCCAGAAAACCUGGAGAGUGGUUGGCACCACCUGCAAAUGUAUUGCCUCAUGGAUCAGUUUCCUCACAUCAUUAUGCUCAAACCCAAUUCUCAAGUUGUGUUUCAGAUAAUCUGUCUGAUAGAGUCCAAUCCUUAGAAAUUGGAAUUGGGGAUGGAGAUUUCACUGGCAUGCCAUUUGUUCUUUUGUCGGGUAGAAACUGGAUAAAAGUCAGGGGUUCAAACUUUUAUGUUCACUUUAGUAUUAGACUAAGUAUUUAGACUAGCAUUUAGACAAAGUUACAAACAAUUAUAUUAGUGACAAUUACAAUCAA